RNAcentral lists this ribosomal RNA (864 nucleotides) under uncultured bacterium. RNAcentral's name for it is "bacterial SSU rRNA". It matches the Rfam family "Bacterial small subunit ribosomal RNA", at positions 8 to 864 of the family's 1533-position model. The record is from RNAcentral.
AGAGUUUGAUCCUGGCUCAGGAUGAACGCUAGCGACAGGCUUAACACAUGCAAGUCGAGGGGCAGCGAGGGCGUAGCAAUACGCCUGUCGGCGACCGGCGCACUGGUGAGUAACACGUAUGCGACCUGCCCCCUACAGGGGUAUAACCCGUAGAAAUGCGGACUAAUCCCCCAUAGUCCUGGAGGCUGCAUGGCAUUCAGGGGAAAGGCCAGCCGGUAGGGGAUGGGCAUGCGGCGCAUUAGCUAGUUGGCGGGGCAACGGCCCACCAAGGCGACGAUGCGUAGGGGUUCUGAGAGGAAGGUCCCCCACACUGGUACUGGGACACGGACCAGACUCCUACGGGAGGCAGCAGUGAGGAAUAUUGGUCAAUGGGCGCAGGCCUGAACCAGCCAAGUCGCGUGAGGGAAGACGGUCCUACGGAUUGUAAACCUCUUUUGUCGGGGAGUAACGUGCGGGACGCGUCCCGUAUUGAGAGUACCCGAAGAAAAAGCAUCGGCUAACUCCGUGCCAGCAGCCGCGGUAAUACGGAGGAUGCGAGCGUUAUCCGGAUUUAUUGGGUUUAAAGGGUGCGCAGGCGGCGCGCCAAGUCAGCGGUCAAAGUUCCGGGCUCAACCCGGUGUCGCCGUUGAAACUGGCGUGCUCGAGUGCGUGCGAGGAAGGCGGAAUGCGUUGUGUAGCGGUGAAAUGCAUAGAUAUGACGCAGAACUCCGAUUGCGAAGGCAGCUUUCCAGCGCGCUACUGACGCUGAGGCACGAAAGCGUGGGGAUCGAACAGGAUUAGAUACCCUGGUAGUCCACGCAGUAAACGAUGUCUACUAGCUUUCCGGGAUGAUUGAGUCCUGGGAGGCACAGCGAAAGCGUUAAG